Molecule: ribosomal RNA, 790 nt
Filed under: uncultured bacterium
Lineage: Bacteria
Description: bacterial SSU rRNA
Rfam family: Bacterial small subunit ribosomal RNA
Source: RNAcentral
AGAGUUUGAUCCUGGCUCAGAUUGAACGCUGGCGGCAUGCCUUACACAUGCAAGUCGAACGCGAAAGGGGGCAACCCCGAGUAGAGUGGCGAACGGGUGAGCAAUACACCGGAACACGUCCUGUAGCGGGGGACAACCUCGAGAAAUCGAGGCUAAUACCGCAUACGAUCUACGGAUGAAAGUGGGGGACCGCAAGGCCCCACACUAUAGGAGUGGCCGAUGCCGGAUUAGCUAGUUGGUGGGGUAACGGCCUACCAAGGCGACGAUCCGUAGCUGGUUUGAGAGAACGACCAGCCACACUGGGACUGAGACACGGCCCAGACUCCUACGGGAGGCAGCAGUGGGGAAUUUUGGACAAUGGGCGAAAGCCUGAUCCAGCCAUGCCGCGUGAGUGAAGAAGGCCUUCGGGUUGUAAAGCUCUUUCGGCCGGGACGAAAUGGCGCGGGGUAACAUCCCGCGUCGAUGACGGUACCGGAAGAAGAAGGACCGGCUAACUACGUGCCAGCAGCCGCGGUAAUACGUAGGGUCCAAGCGUUAAUCGGAAUUACUGGGCGUAAAGCGUGCGUAGGCGGUCUCGCAAGUCCGAUGUGAAAUCCCCGAGCUUAACUUGGGAACUGCGUUGGAAACUAUGAGGCUAGAGUGCGGCAGAGGGGGGUGGAAUUCCAGGUGUAGCAGUGAAAUGCGUAGAGAUCUGGAGGAACACCGAUGGCGAAGGCAGCCCCCUGGGCUAGCACUGACGCUGAUACACGAAAGCGUGGGGAGCAAACAGGAUUAGAUACCCUAGUAGUCC